This is a long non-coding RNA of Cucumis sativus (cucumber), 609 nucleotides long. RefSeq lists it as uncharacterized. NCBI's taxonomy places the organism in Eukaryota, Viridiplantae, Streptophyta, Magnoliopsida, Cucurbitales, Cucurbitaceae. The record is from RefSeq and is a predicted model, not a curated record. The transcript has 3 exons.
CCGUCUGCAGCCCCGCCGCGAAGCAAGACCGCGCCGCUGCCAGUCCAGAUCUGCGGCGCCGUUGCUCUUCCGCCACUGCCCAACCGUCUCAGCCGGUUCUGUCUCCGUCGAAGUCAAGGCCGCCGCGUGAACCUGUAACCGCCGUGUCUCUCCGCGCCGUUGUCCAGAUCUGCAACGCCGGGUCCCCACCGGUAGCCCCGUCCCAAUUGUUUUGCCGACGCUUAUCGUUCAGAUACGAGCCGUGUAGCAUCCAACAGUUGUGCAUCGUGAAGUCCUCAUCUAUUGCGCAACUCCUCGUUUUCCAGUCGCGGGUCCGACGUCCAUCUUUAUUGUAGUGCAUAUCUGUUUUGCACGCAUCAGUUUCAUUCGAUUGUCGCUGAUUCUGUUCUGUCGUCAAUCGUCAAAGCUAUGUUGUGAUUUCAUUGGUGAUAUUGGAGAGCUGUGCUUGGAUAUUUAAGUUUCGAAGUGAACUUCAUUGGAAUUGUUGCCUCAUUCUACUUGGAAUUUAAUUUAUUGGAUUUAGUACGAUUGAAGAACUUUACGUAAACUCGAGGCAAAGGAAAUAAAGGUGGCAAACCGGCGAGGGGCAGGAAGGAAGCGUGAUUGCCA